Molecule: non-coding RNA, 7133 nt
Organism: Heterocephalus glaber (naked mole-rat)
Lineage: Eukaryota; Metazoa; Chordata; Mammalia; Rodentia; Bathyergidae
Source: RefSeq, a predicted model, not a curated record
CCACGAGUUCCGCCCCAGGCGCGGCUGAGGCCCGAGGAGCCACCGGCGAGCGUGAUGCGCAGCUGAGGGCUGGGAGCUUUCGGCGUCGGCGGGCUUGUCCGCAUCCCCAGUAUCCCGCGGGUCGAAGGCCGGCGUCAGCGUCUUUACAGCCUCUAAAGGAUGAGGUCUGGGUGAGCCGUGGCCGCGUGCAGGGUCCCUGGGGCCGUGGGAGGAAGGAGAGGCACGGCCUGAGUCGGCGGCCUGCUUCUGAGCUCCCUGCUGCGCCCCAGGCCGGGCGGGUCCAGCUCCCCGCGGUCCAGGCGCUGCACCAGGGCCCUGGCGUCGCUGUGUGCUGUUCUUGGGCGCAGAGGGGCCGCCCCACGGUGGAGGUGGGGUCGCUGCAGCCCCCAAAGGUAGAUCAGCUUUUCUUCCCCGUGUCCCGUGGCCCUGACCCCCACACCUAACGGAAGCCGGCGUCGGGAUAAUGCGAGGUCGGUCGAGGCUCAGACUUUCCGAGCUCAGGUAAGUUUCCAAAGUGAGCCUCAAACUUGAGAGGGGAAGGGAGUUGGGGUGCGGAGGGAAGGCUGCGCGGCUCCUGCAGGCCCCGCUCCCGCACGCCCGUAGGAUCCCGACGGAGGGUCAGGGUACGAAGGCCGGACGAGCCGUCCCCCUUUCACUCGGCCGAGCAGCUGUGGCUCCGGUCUCUCUUGCAGCUUUAGGCAUGGGGACCGCAUUCCACCUUCGGAUUUGUAUCGGAUUUCCAUCGUUGCUUUGAUGUUACUGUUCCCUUCGUGGAUAGAGGACUGGGAGAAAUGGAGGAGGUGGGGAUGUGAGAUGCUGAGUGUCAGGCUCGUGGAGCGCCUAGGAUCGUGGCAGGCGGGCCUGACUCACCUCAGUGCUUGUUCAGAAGCGGGGUGCGGUGGGCCCGAGUCGGAAACCGCGGGGAGACAGGUGUGGUGAGCGCCUUCGUCCACCAGGGGCGCCUCGGCCAAGGCGGCGGGAGGAGCCCGGUCCCCGGGUUUGGCCCAGGAACGUGCCCGCCAUCCCGUGGUCUCCACCCCACGCCCGUCUCCAGGCGCACGGUCCGCUCGCCCUCAGCCACCACUGGGCGCCACCUGCAGCUCCUGGUGGGCCCCCAGCUCCCGGUCCGAGCAGGCUCCGCCUGCGGGAAGCGCGGCGCCGGACGCUUUCUCAGCCAAGGACGCCGGGACAGGCGCGAGCGGAAUCGAGGGCUAGCGGUUUGGUGACCCUCGCUUGGUUGUUCCGGAGCCUUUGAGGGAGAGGGCAGCACAGAGGAGACGGCGAGGGGCACCGGGCACCAGGGCUCCUCCAGCGCCCGAGACUAACCUGUGGCAGUGGUAAGCGUGUGAGGGCCGGGGUUUCCUGGCGAGGGGGUCGCUGGGGAGCAGAGGACACGGGUGAGACACGGCCUGACACCCCACAUCUGCCCGAGCAGCGAAGUCUCCACGAACUGGCGUCCACUCCCUACCCCACCCCGGUCCUGCUCCAGUGUCCGAAUGCCACCCCCCCCCCCCCGCUCUUUCCAUGCUCCUUCAUCUCAGGUGGGAAGUGAGAACAGUUGUUCAUUCCACCUAACUUAGGCCAGGGAGCGGGGCCCCAGGUCAGGGAGUCCAUUCUGCAGCCCGCUCCCCAGGCUUCCCCCAAGGGCCGGUUCGGUGCCUUCUCGCCUGGUCCUCCAUGUGGUCCGCCUCUCCCCGCCCGACAGGGGAGCCAGUGUCCACGCGGGCCCUGCUGGGGAGGGUGACUCCGGAUAAGCCUUCUCUAACUGGCAGAGAAAACAAGUCUUGGCCUUGAUAACCACAGGCUGCGCAUUAAAAGCAAACACGUUGUCCUCGUCCCUAACGACCGUCAGUGGUUCUGGGUCAUCCGUGGGGAAGAGAAAGGGAUUGGUUUCUCUUGGCAACAGAAGCCCCCCCCCCCAGGGGAAGGGGCCCCUCCUGGCCCAGAGUGCUGGGACUGUGCUGCUGCAGGACUCUCAGCGGGCAGACUGAGUCUCAGGGCACAGCAAAGGCAUCCUCUCCAGGCAGCAGUAGGCCCCUUGUGGGGAAACGCGGAUGGAACGGAGCCCUAAAUCCUGCGCUGUGGCUUUGGAGAAACAAGUUCUGAUUCUGUCUUUCACUUAAGUCACGUGGCCGGGGACACAUACCUCUCCUUCCUGAGGUUCCAGGGCCUCACGAUCCACACCAGAUGCCCACAUAGUGAGCCAGAGUCCUGUGCUGCCAGAGCCAUCUUUGAUGACUUCCACAUGACCCUGGGACUCCACCUUUCGGCUGUCCUGACCCCGCAGGGAGGGGUUGGCCAGAGAGCUAGCUGCACCUGGUACCCGCGAGUCUGAGUUCGGAUGAGCUACAUUGCAGGGCCCAGGGGCACGUGUGGCUUGGGCAGCACACAUCUAGCCCCUUGUUCACCUAACAAGCAAGGAAGAAAUCCUGAGACUGCUCGCUCCUGUGUGUGGCUCACAAUCCCACCCUUCUUCCUGUGGAAGAGGACUUAGGGGCAGGACAAGCGCCAUGGGGCAGAAGCUCAGUGCCCCUUCUCUCCUUCCAAAGCUGGGGAGAGUGGCCUGGAUUUCCCAUCAGGGCACUGGUCUGGGUGGAAAGCUGUAGUUUGCAGCCCCAGAUGGGGGGUUUCCUCCAGGCCCCUGUGCCUCCCAGCAGAGCCUUCGGCUCCUGGAGGGCAUGCAAUGGCCCAGUGGUCAGUAGAGGCAGGAUCACAGGCAGCUUCCUGAGAGCCAGUAGCCCAGCCUGGGGUACACACAUGGGGGAUCAGCAACCCUCAUACGAGGGCUCUGAAACUUAAAGCCAGAGGAGGCAUUGGCUGGGCUCUUCACCUACUAGGCCCUUUAGUCAUCUGCUGAUGGAGCAACCACCCUCAGGAGAGAGAACUGUGGGGAUGACAGGACCUGCAGCCUAAAGGACGCCCUGCCAGCCCUCUGUUCUCAUUCCUUGGGCUUUAACAGGGCCAGGUGGGAAUUGGGGAUUAUGCCUGCGUGUGUGAGUGUGUGUGUGUGAGAGAGAGAGGAGACAGAACAGACCAUGCUAUCUCCCCACUCCUAAACCUGCCCUGUUCUGGAGUAGAGGGACAAGGAUCUCUCUUCCUUGAAAUUCUAAACAGCAGCUAGACUCUUUCAGCCCUGCAGUGACUGCAGAGUUCCGGGUUGGCUGAGGUUAUUCUCAAUGGGAUGAGAGACCUGGACAAAGCAGAGCAGUUACUGCUGGAAACAAAGAGCUCAAUCAGCAAAGUUAAAAGCAAAACGAAAACACUUCCAGGUUUGCGUCUGCAGUGUGAAGACCCCUGGACGAAGGGGCGAGGUCUGGGGCGUUGCCAGGUCCUCCUCCCACAGGCAUGGGAGGUGCUUGUACAUGAGGGGUAUGGGACUCCAUGACAUUUCCAGAUAGUUCUGGAAGACUCUGUGAGCUGUCUUCGUGCCCAGCGCUGCUGUGAAGGGAGCCCUUACAGAUGCCAACCCUGCUUCCUAGCUGUAAACCUAGACAAGUUUUUGAAAAAUAUCUGCUGGACAUAGAAAGUACCGGUCAUUCAUUUGUGCUCUUGCUGAUUUCUGUUUCCUCAAGAGGUUUCCCCCAAAUGUCAUUGACUUUCAGUGAAGGAAGAGCCCCUUGCCCUGCAACACACCGCCAGGCCCAGGGAGGUGGAGCCUGCUUCCUCCAACAGCACUGUCUGACAGCCCCUCCCUGGGCCCCAACAGCACUAGAAGCACAAGUCCAGGAUCCCUGCUGUGGAUUUUUUUUUAGUUUUUUUUUUUUGAGUCAAGGAGGCAAAAAAGUAACACACAAUGAAGACAAAAGGAAGAAAUGCCUGAAAAGGGACAUAGUGAUGCUUGGACAGUGCUCACCAGGGCCUGGCAUCAGAAGGGCCCGGCGGUUAUUACUGGCACAGAUGAGUUUCACUUCAGUUUCUUGGGGUGACAGGGAGAGAAGCCGCUAGAGGUACAUGAAUAGAGAAGGCGACAGCCCGGCUGCUUCCUUACCUCUGCAUUUCUUCAGGCUCUCUGUGAUGGCAUCAUGCCUUGAUUUCCUUUCCUUGAGUUUCUUCUCCAGAUCUGGAGGAAUCAACUCUGAGUCAAGGAAUUGAAACCCUUGACUCUUACAAAGACACAGCUGAGCUGGGGCUGAGGGGAAGGGAGGACAUGGAUGUGGACAGUGACAUGGAAAGGGGGGCGCGUGUGUGGGUGAACUGGGAAUGAGAGGCCAGAGCUAGGGAAAUGGGGCCAGGGAAGAGGAGACAUGGAAGUGAAAGUUAGAACAGCUGGAGAGAUGGAGGAAAGAGAGAGCAGGUGUCAGACCCCCCCCCCCAGGUGGAAGAGAAAACUUGCCAGACAAUGCAGUUACACAUCCUGCAAGAUGCAAAGGAUAACAGGAAGCUAAGUUGGGUUCGAGAAAAGCAGCUUGACCCAUGCAGCAACAUCUGCGGGCCUAGAUACCCCUGGAGACCACCAGACGCCCUCCACCCUAGAUCAAAAGACUUCCUCCACUCCAGGACAAAAAUUUCCACUCCUCCUGGCAGCACCCCUCCCCUACCCAAAGUCCCCUAUAAAGUUUCCCCUCACCCAAGCCCCCAGGGUCAAUGGCUUUGUCACCCUUGACUAGCCUGCACCCAAGCUGGAAAUAAAACCUAGCUUGUUGCUUCAUUUUUGCCUGCUCUGGUGGUCUCGGGCAUGCCUCAGUUUACCCUAACAGCAGGGGAGAAGGGAGAUGGAGUAGGGAACUUGGAACCACCCAGUGAAGCAAGGGGACACACAGGAGGCGCCAGGAAAUUGAAGACUGCUGAAGAACCAGGAAGCUAGAGAAACAGCUGUUUUCUUCACCAAGUGGCCCACAUGCUAAGGUUUUUGGCUCAGGCCUUCUGCACCCACAGCCUGGUUAGUGGAUUGCGGAGUCAGAAUGUGCAGAGCAUUUGGGGGAAUGCGAAGUGUGCUGCAGCCACAAACGAAUAGGUAGGCAUAGUGUGGGACAGCCUGUCAUAACUGCACAGUAUAACCUAAUGUCCUAGAAGAGAAAGAGAUGGCACAGCCUCAGGGCUUGGCUGCAUCACAGACCCCUGGCUGGGGGUCUCCACUUCCCCACCUCGCCUCCCACCCACCCUGGAGGGGAGCUCCAGAAGCGCCCGACACCAGGUGGACAGUGAAUGGAUUAGACCGGCAGAGAAUCCAAGCAAAGAGGAGGAGAGGAAAAUAAGAUUCGGAAGAUGACAUUCAUUUCACUGAACCUGGGGAGCCUUGCAAGCAGAAUGUAUGGAAGGCUGGAGAGGCUUUACAGGGUGUUUCUUAAAAGAAAGACUCUUGACCUGGUGGGGCUGGGAUGCGUGCAGGGGAGACCAGCUCAGCUUGCUUUGUGCACCACCACACCUGUACUGUCCAAUGUGGUGGCACCAAACAUGGUACCGACACCUCAAACAUGGCUGGAGCAACGAGGAACCACGUCUUAAAGGACUCUAACUCAGGACCUUGCGCUUGCCGGCCCGACGACGUAGUGCCGCUGAGCUACAUCCCUGGCCCUCACUUCCUAUUGCUGAGUUACACACGAGUGAGGCCGAUGUGUUUGUGCUGGACGGCGCUGGGCUGAGGGAGACGACUGAGACGGUCUUCCCACCAGGUUCUUGGGGCCCUAACCAGCGACGAUAGGAGGCUGCCAGCCGGCUGCAACUCCGCCGUCAAGGGGCCCUCGCCGGGCAGCCGUCUGGGCGGCGUCCGCUGCCGGGACCUGAGGGAGCCCCUGAGCGUCUUGAGAGAGUCCGGCUGCAGCUCAGCGCGCAGAUGCAGCGCGUCCCGCGCUGCACAUUCGCAUCCGGCCAGCGGAGCCGCAACAGCAGGACAUGCUCUCCUCCUCCAAACCUGCCACAGGGGAUCAAAUUCCACGGGGAUCCUGAGCCUCUCAACCGCCACUCAGGUCUAGGGACAAGGGAAAGGGACACAGGGAGGAGAGGGUGGCCCCCAACUCCUCCUAGCCCACUCUACUCAGUCUUUGAAAGUGUUAGGCUUAUACCAAAUGCCUUGCUGAGCAUCGCCCCGCGGCUGAUCUGCAGGGAGGGAGGGAAAGGGCAGGAGGGCCCCCCAGGUUUCUAACCAGGUGGGCAGCAGCUCCUCCCAGUCUCCCUGCCGAGACUGAGGGGCUGGGCAGCUUCGCGGCAGAGAGCCAGGGAGGCUGCGUGGACGCGAGCUCUGCCGGGCAGGAAGAGGAAACAGGAGCAGGGGGAAAAGAUUCUUCACGUUGGAGGAGCGGGAGGAGGGAAACAAGGAGGGAAAAGAAAGUAAGCAAACAACGGAAAAGAGUAAAGAUUCAAAUGCAGGGGCACUGUAGAGGGAAACGGGUGGGCAGUCCUGUCUACCCUGCCACCUUUGGAGGGCCAGUGUGUGCUUGAACGUGUGUGCUGCUUAUAAAACAGGGCAAGUGCUCCGGAGCUUUGGACUAAGUAAAGAAAUGUUCAUGAGGCAAUUGACAGACCCAAAGGACCAGGGCACCAAAGCCCACUUGAAGGUGACUUCCUGUCAGCUUCAGGUAAGGAAUGCAGAGGCUAAUGCUUCCCAGAAGGUCACAGCGGCUGUAACUCCUCGAAAACAAGACCUAACCAGAAAACAGGCCUUGGUGUGAUUUUCAGGAUGUUCAUCAUAGCAGCCCUACCCCCAAAAUAAGUCCCAGCUGAGAUCAGCAGCCAGAUGGGCACAUUAGUAAUUAAAUAUAAAUAAUACUUAAAAUACUUGAACCACCAGGUGUGGUGGCGCACACCUGUGAUCCUGGCACUGGAGAGGCUGACGCAGGAGGAUCACAGCGAGUUCGAGGCCAGGCAGGGCUACAUAGUGAGACUCUGUCUCAAAAAAACCCAAACAAACCAAAGCAAACACCUUGAUACUUAAAUGAUAAUCAUUAACACUUAAAUAAAUAAUAAUAAAACUAUAAUUAAGUAUUUGUAAAUAGCCAAGCAGGCACAAGAGGUAAACUCAAGAAUUAUUGCUGCAUGACCAGAGUACAGACACAACGUGUGAAUAACAUGCACACUUGAUAAAUAGAUGAGAUUGUUUGACAUGAAUCUUAAUAAUUCAAUACACUGUGUAUUAUAACAGACACACUUAAUGCACUUGUGUGAAAUAAACAUUUUCUGAAUUUUGGUGCCUGCAA